This 382-nucleotide long non-coding RNA is filed under the name Lathyrus oleraceus (garden pea). Its description in RNAcentral is "Pisum sativum (pea) long non-coding RNA (PSAT_LNC026499)". Lineage: Eukaryota; Viridiplantae; Streptophyta; Magnoliopsida; Fabales; Fabaceae. The record is from RNAcentral.
UGAUUUCUAUUUUCUUUUAUUUCUUUUAAUUCCAUUUUAUUUCUAAAAUUCAUAUCUCUUUCAUUAUUGGUCCAAAAAUUAUGGGACCAAUUGCAUUAUUUCUCUUUUAACUUCUAGUUUCUAAAAAUGAUUUUUAAUAUUUUUUAUUUUAUCAUUUGAUAUUUUUCAUGAAUUUUCUCUUUUCUGGUUAUUUUUAAUUCAUUUUAAAUAGUUUUUGAUAUUCAAAAAAUAACAAAUAUUUUCUCAAUCUCUUUGAAUGAUGAUAGAUCUAUGAAAAAUAUUCUCAUCAAUUUAUUAAUUGAUUUGAGAUUUAUUUGAGAUUUUAGUUCAAUUAGGUUAUUUUUAUGCAUUUUUAAUUGAUUUAAAAUAGUUUCUAACUUUU